Long non-coding RNA from Mauremys reevesii (Reeves's turtle), 355 nucleotides. RefSeq lists it as uncharacterized. The record is from RefSeq and is a predicted model, not a curated record. Lineage: Eukaryota; Metazoa; Chordata; Testudines; Geoemydidae. The transcript has 3 exons.
GGUGAUUUGGCCGACAGGAAUCCCCGCGUGCCCCCCCCCUCCCGGACACACGGCGCAGGAGACGGCUCGCCCUAGAAUUUGUUGUCUGACACAAAGCAAAGGGGAAGCAGUUUGCAUGGGCUGAAGACCAGAGCUGAGGCCCAACAGUUCUAACUGCAGCCUCCCAUUCAGAGAGAGACUAUGCUACUGUUUUCAGCCACAGGACAUCUCCCCACUUCCUCAUCAAGAAAUGCUCUCCCAGUGCUUGACGCACUUCAAAGUCUCAGCAGUCAGCAGACCUGUUACUUGACACACAGAUCAUCUGGUUUGCCUCAAAAAUGCAUCACAACUGCAGCAAGUACUGUACUUACAUGUG